This is a non-coding RNA of Cervus elaphus (red deer), 455 nucleotides long. The record is from the annotation of a RefSeq genome assembly. Lineage: Eukaryota; Metazoa; Chordata; Mammalia; Artiodactyla; Cervidae.
AGCACACCCUGGCACAUUCCUUCCUGCUCCUCAAGGGAGAUCUUCCUCCCUCUGUAGCCAUGCUCUCAGUGACUCUUCUGCUACUUGGAAUGCUCUUCACAGCAAGAGGAACUGGAGCCCAGUUAGUGACCCAGCCUGACCGUCACAUCAGCGUCUCUGAAGGAAACCAUCUGGAGCUGAGAUGCAACUAUUCUUAUGGUGGAUCUAUUUCUCUCUUCUGGUAUGUCCAGUACCCCAGCCAAGGCCUCCAGUUUCUACUGAAGUAUUUAUCAGGGCCCACCUGGGUUAAAGGCAUCAAAGGCUUCGAGGCUGAAUUCAAGAAGGAUGAGAAGUCCUUCCACCUGAAGAAAGCUUCAGCCUAUUGGAGUGACUCUGCCAAGUACUUCUGUGCUCUGUGUGACACAGUGCCUGAGUUUGCAGGGGGAGCUGAACAAAAACCUUCUCAGACAUUGUAG